RNAcentral lists this ribosomal RNA (254 nucleotides) under uncultured bacterium. Its description in RNAcentral is "partial 16S ribosomal RNA". It matches the Rfam family "Bacterial small subunit ribosomal RNA", at positions 524 to 776 of the family's 1533-position model. The record is from RNAcentral.
UACGGGGGGAGCAAGCGUUGUUCGGAUUUACUGGGCGUAAAGGGCGCGUAGGCGGUCAGCACAAGUCAGUUGUGAAAUCUCCGGGCUUAACUCGGAAAGGUCAACUGAUACUGUGCGACUAGAGUGCGGAAGGGGCAACUGGAAUUCCAGGUGUAGCGGUGAAAUGCGUAGAUAUCUGGAGGAACACCGGUGGCGAAGGCGGCAUCCUGGACCGACACUGACGCUGAGGAGCGAAAGCCAGGGGAGCAAACGGG